UUUACGAUACAUUCCUCAUCCUAUAAAGAAUACU
This 34-nucleotide small RNA is filed under the name Arabidopsis thaliana (thale cress). RNAcentral describes it as "ATSL059810". The record is from RNAcentral. Lineage: Eukaryota; Viridiplantae; Streptophyta; Magnoliopsida; Brassicales; Brassicaceae.